AAUAAAUCAACUUUUCAGUUUUUAGAUACAAUGUUUGACUCUUCGUCUUAUUCAAAAAAAUUUAUGAUUAAUAAUUUUAUUUUUAUUAGAUGAUAAAACAUGAAUAAUACUUUAUGUGUGACUAAUUUUUUAAAAUUUCUUGAAAUUUUUCAAGUAAGACGGAUGGUUAAACGUUCGACACAAAAACC
This 188-nucleotide microRNA precursor is filed under the name Oryza brachyantha (malo sina). RNAcentral's name for it is "MIR812 microRNA precursor family". It matches the Rfam family "MIR812 microRNA precursor family". Lineage: Eukaryota; Viridiplantae; Streptophyta; Magnoliopsida; Poales; Poaceae. The record is from Rfam by way of RNAcentral.